Molecule: ribosomal RNA, 336 nt
Filed under: Carnobacterium inhibens
Lineage: Bacteria; Bacillati; Bacillota; Bacilli; Lactobacillales; Carnobacteriaceae
Description: bacterial SSU rRNA
Rfam family: Bacterial small subunit ribosomal RNA
Source: RNAcentral
CAUAAGAGGGGGAUAACAUCCGGAAACGGAUGCUAAUACCGCAUAUUUCCAAUUGUCUCCUGACAGAUGGAAAAAAGGUGGCUUCGGCUACCGCUUAUGGAUGGACCCGCGGCGUAUUAGCUAGUUGGUGAGGUAAUGGCUCACCAAGGCGAUGAUACGUAGCCGACCUGAGAGGGUGAUCGGCCACACUGGGACUGAGACACGGCCCAGACUCCUACGGGAGGCAGCAGUAGGGAAUCUUCCGCAAUGGACGAAAGUCUGACGGAGCAAUGCCGCGUGAGUGAAGAAGGUUUUCGGAUCGUAAAACUCUGUUGUUAGAGAAGAACAAGGAUGAGA